Molecule: ribosomal RNA, 255 nt
Filed under: uncultured bacterium
Lineage: Bacteria
Description: partial 16S ribosomal RNA
Rfam family: Bacterial small subunit ribosomal RNA
Source: RNAcentral
AACGAACGCUGGCGGCAGGCCUAACACAUGCAAGUCGAACGCCGUAGCAAUACGGAGUGGCAGACGGGUGAGUAACACGUGGGAACAUACCCUUCGGUUCGGAAUAACUCAGGGAAACGUUAGAGCUAAUACCGGAUACGUCCGCGAGGAGAAAGAUUCAUCGCCGGAGGAUUGGCCCGCGUCUGAUUAGCUUGUUGGUGAGGUAACGGCUCACCAAGGCGACGAUCAGUAGCGGUCUGAGAGGAUGAUCAGCCA